GACGAACGCUGGCGGCGUGCUUAACACAUGCAAGUCGAACGGAAAGGCGCUGCUUUUGUGGGGUGCUCGAGUGGCGAACGGGUGAGUAACACGUGAGUAACAUGCCCUUGUCUUUGGGAUAACUUCAGGAAACUGGGGCUAAUACCGGAUAGGAGAUCCUGAAGCAUGGUGGGGGAUGGAAAGAUACGGCGGUUGGGGAUGGACUCGCGGCUUAUCAGCUGGUUGGGGGGGUAGUGGCUUACCAAGGCUUUGACGGGUAGCCGGCCUGAGAGGGUGACCGGCCACAUUGGGACUGAGAGACGGCCCAGACUCCUACGGGAGGCAGCAGUGGGGAAUAUUGCACAAUGGGCGGAAGCCUGAUGCAGCAACGCCGCGUGCGGGAUGACGGCCUUCGAGUUGUAAACCGCUUUCUCCGGUGACGAAGCGUUAGUGACGGUAAUGGGUAAGGAAGCACCGGCUAACUACGUG
This 468-nucleotide ribosomal RNA is filed under the name uncultured bacterium. Its description in RNAcentral is "partial 16S ribosomal RNA". It matches the Rfam family "Bacterial small subunit ribosomal RNA", at positions 28 to 507 of the family's 1533-position model. The record is from RNAcentral.